CAGACGAUGCGUCAUGCAUAUCAAUAAGCGGAGGAAAAGAAACUAACAAGGAUUCCCCUAGUAACGGCGAGUGAAGCGGGAAGAGCUCAAAUUUGAAAUCUUAAAGGGUUUCCCUUUACGAAUUGUAGUUUAAAGAAGUGUUUUCUGUUGAGGUUUUGGUAAAAGUUCUUUGGAAUAGGACAUCAUAGAGGGUGAGAAUCCCGUAUUUGACCUUUACUUUCAACUUUGUGAUACACUUUCAAAGAGUCGGAUUGUUUGGGAAUGCAGUCCAAAAUGGGUGGUAAAUUUCAUCUAAAGCUAAAUAUUGGCGAGAGACCGAUAGCGAACAAGUACCGUGAGGGAAAGAUGAAAAGAACUUUGAAAAGAGAGUUAAACAGUACGUGAAGUUGUCAAAAGGGAAGCGUUUGACACCAGUGUUGUUUUUCUGAAAAUCAAUUAAAGAACUGUUUAUGCUAAGUUGUUUAGACUUUAUCAGCUAACUGUUUAGUUUUGGGCUUUUCUUUAAUGCACUUUUCAGUUAACAAGUCAACAUCAAUUUCUUUUGCUGUAAAAAAGCUUGAGGAAGGUGGCUUGAGAUUCGUCUUAAGUGUUUAUAGCCUCUUGCCUAUGCAGUCGGAGAGAUUGAGGUCUGCAGCGUAGAUCCUUCGGGGCUAAAUGCAUUUGUGCUAAGUUAUAGCAUUUUAUAGACAACUUGUUGACUAUGAUUUGUCUUGUAGCUUACUCGCUUAUGUUAUUUUACCUACGCUUAGGAUGUUGAAUCUGUGCGAGACUAC
Molecule: ribosomal RNA, 773 nt
Filed under: uncultured Neocallimastigales
Lineage: Eukaryota; Fungi; Neocallimastigomycota; Neocallimastigomycetes; Neocallimastigales
Description: partial large subunit ribosomal RNA
Rfam family: Eukaryotic large subunit ribosomal RNA
Source: RNAcentral